Camponotus floridanus (Florida carpenter ant) is the source of this 783-nucleotide long non-coding RNA. RefSeq lists it as uncharacterized. The record is from RefSeq and is a predicted model, not a curated record. The transcript has 3 exons. Lineage: Eukaryota; Metazoa; Arthropoda; Insecta; Hymenoptera; Formicidae.
UACGGUAAAGAUACGUACGCCUUUCUAUCGCGGGCGUAUAAUCUCAGGUUUGACGCCAAAUAUGGAAACGGUACAUACGUUCAACGCCAUCUGCAUAUGUUCCUGUUCCGGUCUCUUCCCGCUUGCUCGGUAAUCGAUGGAGUAAGAGAUUUCAACGUGUUAUCAAAUCGAAGCAGCGUUCUUCGCAGUAUUCUUCGCAGUGUUCUCUCUUCGCAGAGUUCUUCGCAGUAUUCUUCGCAGUGUUCUCUCUUCGCAGAAUUCUUCACAGGAUUCUUCGCAUGUUCUAUACAGUGUUCUUCGCAGAGUUCUUCGCAGAGUUCUUCGUAGAGUUCUUCGUAGGGUUCUUUGCAAGGUUCUUCACAGAAUUCAUGUUUAAAUUUAUUGAGACAAAUAGUCUCAAACAAAGUUGCUGUAUUAUAUAAUUGGCAUGGUGCCAAAAAAAAAAGAAUUUUUCCCAGCUGAACUUGUGUCAAGUAAUAUUAACUAUUGUAAGAAACGCGCAUGAAGCAGCAAAGGAUGAGCACAUAUCUAAUACAAUAAAAGUAUGGUUAGCUCACGCUAAAGAGCGUAUUGAUAGAGAGAAAGAAAAAAAAAAGAAAAAUUCAGAGGGAUCGAAACGAUCCUCCGGAAGAACUAGAAGAGCCCUCUGACUGAAUGUGAUAAUUAUCUUGUCAACGUAUUUAAAUAAGACACGUUAGCGCAAGAGCCAAAGAUUACAAUUAAGAAUUUUGCUUUUUUCAAAUUUUGUUCGAGUUAUGAUGAAAAUCUUUAUUUUGAGAGUUA